Molecule: long non-coding RNA, 3642 nt
Organism: Oncorhynchus keta (chum salmon)
Lineage: Eukaryota; Metazoa; Chordata; Actinopteri; Salmoniformes; Salmonidae
Exons: 3
Source: RefSeq, a predicted model, not a curated record
ACCACAAGCGCACACAUCAUUUCUGUUUAUUCACAUACUAUAGGUUCCACACAACUCCUGGUACAGAGGCAAGAAAAGGUAUGUGAACCGUUUGGAAUUACCUGGAUUUCUGCAUAAAUUGGUCAUAAAAUGUGAUCUGAUCUUCAUCUAGGUCACAACAAUAGACAAACACAGUCUGCUUAAACUAAUAAAACACAAACAAUUAUAUGUUUUCAUGUCUUUAUGGAACACAUUGUGUGAACAUUCACAGUGCAGGGUGGGAAAAGUAUGUGAACCCUUGGAUUUAAUAACUGGUUGACCCUCCUUUGGCAGCAAUAACCUCAACCAAAUGUUUUCUGUAGUUGCAGAUCAGACCUGCACAACGGUCAGGAGGAAUUUUGGACCUUUCCUCUUUACAAAACUGUUUCAGUUCAGCAAUAUUCUUGGGAUGUCUGGGGUGAACUGCUCUCUUGAGGUCAUGCCACAGCAUCUCAAUCGGGUUGAGGUCAUGCUACAGCAUCUCAAUCGGGUUGAGGUCAUGCUACAGCAUCUCAAUCGGGUUGAGGUCAUGCUACAGCAUCUCAAUCGGGUUGAGGUCAUGCUACAGCAUCUCAAUCGGGUUGAGGUCAUGCUACAGCAUCUCAAUCGGGUUGAGGUCAUGCUACAGCAUCUCAAUCGGGUUGAGGUCAUGCUACAGCAUCUCAAUCGGGUUGAGGUCAUGCUACAGCAUCUCAAUCGGGUUGAGGUCAUGCUACAGCAUCUCAAUCGGGUUGAGGUCAUGCUACAGCAUCUCAAUCGGGUUGAGGUCAUGCUACAGCAUCUCAAUCGGGUUGAGGUCAUGCUACAGCAUCUCAAUCGGGUUGAGGUCAUGCUACAGCAUCUCAAUCGGGUUGAGGUCAUGCUACAGCAUCUCAAUCGGGUUGAGGUCAUGCUACAGCAUCUCAAUCGGGUUGAGGUCAUGCUACAGCAUCUCAAUCGGGUUGAGGUCAUGCUACAGCAUCUCAAUCGGGUUGAGGUCAUGCUACAGCAUCUCAAUCGGGUUGAGGUCUGGGCCACUCCAGAAGGCGUAUUUUAUUCUGUUGUUGAUUUACUUCUGUGUUUUGGGUCGUUGUCCUGUUGCAUCACCCAACUUCUGUUGAGCUUCAAUUGUCGGACAGAUAGCCUUAUAUUCUCCUGAUAAACUUGGGAAUUAAUUUUUCCGUCGAUGAUAGCAAGUUGUCCAGGCCCUGAGGCAGCAAAGCAGCCCCAAACCAUGAUGCUCCCUCCACCAGACUUUACAGUUGGGAUGAGGUUUUGAUGUUGGUGUGCUGUGCCUUUUUUCUCCACACAUAAUGUUGUGUGUUCCUUCCUUCCAAACAACAUAACUGUAGUUUAAUCUGUCCACAGAAUAUUUUGGCAGAAGCGGAUUCUUCUUAACCUCAUUGAGCAUUCUGCGCUGUGCUCUUGCAGUCAUCUUUGCAGGACGGCCACUCCUAGGAAGAGUAGCAACAGUGCUGAACUUUCUCCAUUUAUAGAAAAUGUGUCUUACUGUGAACUGAUGAACAUCAAGGCUUUUAGAGAUACUUUUGUAACCCUUUCCAUCUUUAUGCAAGUCAACAAUGAGGUAUUCUGAGAUCUCUCUUGUUCGAGACAUGGUUCCCAUCAGGCAAUGCUUCUUGUGAAUAGCAAACUCACAUUUUGUGAGUGUUUUUAUAGGGCAGGGCAGCUCUAACCAACAUCUCCAAUCUCAUCUCAUCGAUUGGACUCCAGGUUAGCUGACUCCUGACUCCAAUUAGCUUUUGAAGAAGUCAUUAGCCUGGGGGUUCACGUACCUUUUCCAACCUACACUGUUUAAAUUAUGUAUUCAAUAUGGACAAGAAAAAUACAAUAAUUUGUGUGUUCUUUUUUACCUUUAUUUAACUAGGCAGUUAAGAACAAAUUCUUAUUUUCAAUGACGGCCUAGGAACACUGGGUUAACUGCCUGUUCAGGGGCAGAAUUACAUAUUUGUACCUUGUCAGCUCAGGGGUUUGAACUUACAACUUUCUGGUUACUAGUCCAAUGCUCUAACCACUAGGCUACCCUGCCAACACUAUGUUAUCUGUUGUUGUGACUAAGAUGAAGAUCAGAUCUAAUUUUAUGACCAAUUUAUUCAGAAAUCCAGAUAAUUCCAAAGGGUUCACAUACUUUUUCUUGCCACUGUAUGUGUACAGAUAAGUGUCAGUGUGAGAGGACUGGGAAAGAAGACACUGAUACAGAGAGUCCACUAACUAACAAGCUGAAAUAACCUCUUCUUGAACUUCAGCAGAACAUCCAUCAUAGCUUGUUUACCAAAUGGCACCCUAUUCCCUUUAUAGUGCACUACUUUUGACCAGAGCCCAUAGAGCAUAGUGCACUAUGUCGGGAAUAGGGUUCCAUUUUGGAUGCAGAGAAUACUCUGUGUAAUGAAGCCUACACAUGCACUUCUCCCCCUCAUUCACUCCCUGCAGUCUUUCAUCCAUCCUCUCUCCCUUCUGCACCUCUCCUCCUUGACUGUACUCCAUCCCUCCAUAUAUCUUCUAUUAUCUCUGAUUAACAGACAGUCGUCCUUCUCUCACUCCUCUAGACCUUCUGCUCUAUCCCGCCCCCUAGUGUUUGUUAUACGUCAUCACAGACUAGUCGACCAGUUCAUGCACUGGAGAGAAUGGUGACUAGGUAAGAGAUGAGUCCACAGCCAAUGGGUCAUUUUGUUGACCGACAGGAUUGGUCAAGCUGUUUUACGAUCAAUCAAAGGUGACAAAACACACACGAUCACACACACACACACACACACACACACACGAUCGGGGUGAAAAAAUAACCACGAACCACCACGAUAAUUAACACACACACUCAAUUAGCCUACAAGCACAAACAUAUUCAAGUAUUAUCCUUCACAGACUGGUGUUUAUUUAUUUAAGUCUAAGAUUUGUAGUCUUCUGAGGAUUGUUCAGGGUUGGAGUCAAUUCUAUUUAAAUUACAGUCAAUUCAGGAAGUACACUGAAAUUCCAACUCCAAUUAUCUACGAUGCUUUUCAAUGAGGAAAAUUGGAAUUUGAUUUACUUUCCCGAAAUUGACUGGAAUUGAAAUGGAAAUUGACUGGAAUUGAAAUGGAAUUGAAAGGGAAUUGAAAUGGAAUUGAAAGGGAAUUGAAAUGGAAUUGACUGGAAUUGAAAUGGAAUUGACCCCAGCUCUGUUGCAGUUACACAUCAUGACCAGACUGGUCUCAGAACAUAUUUUAUAUUUUGCUAAAAAUCCGUGCCACUCCAAUAGAACAUCUCCUUUUUGGCUUAUGUAAAUCCAGGGACACUCAAAUGAGUAUGAUAUGUUACGUUGGUAUGACAGUAGGUUACUUAAGGCAGAGCAAACGUUUAGCAAGCCAAAGAAUACAAUCUAAUCACAGACAACUUUAGCAUUUUACCAGCUUUGCAGCUACUUACUACUUUUUAGGUACUUUGCAACUACUUAGCAUGCUAGCUAACCCUUCCCCAAACCUUUAAUCUAACUCCUAACCUAAUGUAGCACAUCAUACUAAAGCAGUUGAGUGUGAUAUAUCAUACCAAAACAGUAUAGUGUGAUAUAUCAUACUAAAGCAGUUGAGUGUGAUAUAUCAUACUAAAGCAGUUGAGUGUGAUAUAUCAUACUAAAGCAGUUGAGUGUGAUAUAUC